GACGAACGCUGGCGGCGUGCUUAACACAUGCAAGUCGAACGGUGAAGCGCCUUCCUUUUUGGUGGGUGUGGAUGAGUGGCGAACGGGUGAGUAACACGUGAGUAACCUGCCCCCUUCUUCUGGAUAACCGCAUGAAAGUGUGGCUAAUACGGGAUAUUCUGGGUCUGUCGCAUGUUGGGUCUGGGAAAGAUAUUGUUUCGGUGGGGGAUGGGCUCGCGGCCUAUCAGCUUGUUGGUGGGGUGAUGGCCUACCAAGGCGGUGACGGGUAGCCGGCCUGAGAGGGUGGACGGUCACACUGGGACUGAGACACGGCCCAGACUCCUACGGGAGGCAGCAGUGGGGAAUAUUGCACAAUGGGCGCAAGCCUGAUGCGGCGACGCCGCGUGAGGGAUGGAGGCCUUCGGGUUGUGAACCUCCUUCGCCAGUGAAGCAGGCCUGCCUCGUUUGUGGGUGGGUUGACGGUAGCUGGAUAAGAAGCGCCGGCUAACUACGUG
Molecule: ribosomal RNA, 494 nt
Filed under: uncultured bacterium
Lineage: Bacteria
Description: partial 16S ribosomal RNA
Rfam family: Bacterial small subunit ribosomal RNA
Source: RNAcentral